ACAAACUUGGUCAUUUAGAGGAAGUAAAAGUCGUAACAAGGUUUCCGUAGGUGAACCUGCGGAAGGAUCAUUAUCGAAACCCGAGGGUGCAGAGGGGGAUCGGAGAGAUCCGUUCCUCCGAAGCCCUUCGUUUACUCUUUGACACACCUCACGUGCACCCCAUUCGCAAGGGCCCUUCGGGACCCGCGCGUUUCAUCUCCGACUCGCAUGUCUACAGAAUGUCGAUAGCAUUUGAUAUAUAUAUAAAAUACAACUUUCAGCAACGGAUCUCUUGGCUCUCGCAUCGAUGAAGAACGCAGC
This 300-nucleotide unclassified non-coding RNA is filed under the name uncultured fungus. RNAcentral describes it as "partial contains small subunit ribosomal RNA, internal transcribed spacer 1, and 5.8S ribosomal RNA". The stretch from base 1 to 73 matches the Rfam family "Eukaryotic small subunit ribosomal RNA", at positions 1759 to 1831 of the family's 1831-position model. The record is from RNAcentral. Lineage: Eukaryota; Fungi.